This 816-nucleotide ribosomal RNA is filed under the name Thyronectria sophorae. RNAcentral describes it as "eukaryotic LSU rRNA". It matches the Rfam family "Eukaryotic large subunit ribosomal RNA", at positions 86 to 933 of the family's 3401-position model. The record is from RNAcentral. Lineage: Eukaryota; Fungi; Ascomycota; Sordariomycetes; Hypocreales; Nectriaceae.
ACGGCGAGUGAAGCGGCAACAGCUCAAAUUUGAAAUCUGGCCCUCGUGGUCCGAGUUGUAAUUUGCAGAGGAUGCUUUUGGCGCGGUGCCUUCCGAGUUCCCUGGAACGGGACGCCACAGAGGGUGAGAGCCCCGUCUGGUUGGACACCAAGCCUCUGUAAAGCUCCUUCGAAGAGUCGAGUAGUUUGGGAAUGCUGCUCUAAAUGGGAGGUAUAUGUCUUCUAAAGCUAAAUACCGGCCAGAGACCGAUAGCGCACAAGUAGAGUGAUCGAAAGAUGAAAAGCACUUUGAAAAGAGGGUUAAACAGUACGUGAAAUUGUUGAAAGGGAAGCGUUUGUGACCAGACUUGGGCCCGGUCAAUCACCCGGCGUUCUCGCCGGUGCACUUGGCCGGCCCAGGCCAGCAUCAGUUCGCCGCGGGGGAUAAAGGCGGCGGGAACGUAGCUCCUCGGAGUGUUAUAGCCCGCCGCGUCAUGCCCUGUGGGGGACUGAGGUCUGCGCAUCUGCAAGGAUGCUGGCAUAAUGGUCAUCAACGACCCGUCUUGAAACACGGACCAAGGAGUCGUCUUCGUAUGCGAGUGUUCGGGUGUCAAACCCCUACGCGGAAUGAAAGUGAACGCAGGUGAGAGCCUUACGGCGCAUCAUCGACCGAUCCUGAUGUUCUCGGAUGGAUUUGAGUAAGAGCAUACGGGGCCGGACCCGAAAGAAGGUGAACUAUGCCUGUAUAGGGUGAAGCCAGAGGAAACUCUGGUGGAGGCUCGCAGCGGUUCUGACGUGCAAAUCGAUCGUCAAAUAUGGGCAUGGGGGCGAAAGACUA